GGGGAAUAUUGCACAAUGGGGGGAACCCUGAUGCAGCGACGCCGCGUGAGUGAAGAAGUAUUUCGGUAUGUAAAGCUCUAUCAGCAGGGAAGAAAAUGACAGUACCUGACCAAGAAGCCCCGGCUAACUAC
Molecule: ribosomal RNA, 131 nt
Filed under: uncultured bacterium
Lineage: Bacteria
Description: partial 16S ribosomal RNA
Rfam family: Bacterial small subunit ribosomal RNA
Source: RNAcentral